CAUCCCAUAAAACCCUUUAGAUCGUCCACACUGCCCCUGUCAAUAUGUGGUUCUCACUCCCCAUCAGCAAACGCUGUGUUUUCUGGGCGUGUCGCAAGCGAAGCUGCUCACCACACCUCUGUGCGGAAGCGCAUACCUUUUUUGUUGUUGUUGUUGUUUUUUAAAUUGGCUCCAUGGAUACGAGCUACCGCACGGUUACGAUACAAUAGGUGGCAGUAGUGCGACAUUGAGAAUGCAAUCCACCGCAAUCCUCCACAGAAGAAGAAGACCCACUACAGAACUGCACGACAUUAGUCAGCUGGUUCGUAGCGUAGUAGAACCAUACGUCUACGAUCCCGAAUCUGACCCUGAAGCUGAAGAGGAGGCUGUUGAAGUCGCCACAUUUCGGCUGAUGCAAGAUGUGUCUCAUUGUUGUUACAGGUAUCUAGUCUACAGAGGCUAGUGAGCUGGUGCUGAGGAUUCCUGGGGUGAAGAAUCUGAGUUGCCAUCUCUUCAUGCUUGGGUUGUAGAUGAAGGCAGUUUCCUGAUGGAUAAAACACUAAAACACUCAUAGUAUGAUUGAUGUAGACCACCUGUAGAAUAACUCCUUUACCAUUUGAGUAAAAAUGUGUUUUUUUUUUGAGUGCAACACUCUAAGAAUUUUUUAAAUUUUAUUUAUAUAUAAUUUAUAUGCUUUUUAUUUAUGGCCGCUUCAACUUUAUAGCUUACCAUAUUAGAAAGAGAAAAACAUGUAAUUUUAAUACUAUGAUUUCCUAAAUAAAAGUGUUUUCCCUUCAGAAACAGAGUUUAGUGAAAUACAUAAUAGUUAAAGCCAACUUUAUUGUAAACCAAAAAAAUACACCACUACUCCAAAGCUAGAACAAACUGUUACCUUCACACUCCAAUGUGCAAUGUAUAGGUUACUGAGUUAAUUAAGAAGUCUGGGGGUUUGAGGUCAAAAGCUUUUGCAGGGCCUUGCAGACGAAAUGCAUGAAAGUAGGGUAAACAGGGAGAUGUGGUGAUCCUUGUUCUCAUCACUAUUUGGAAGACUGAGCGGAAGCAGUCCUCUACCAGAUGGAAGCUGUGGCUGUCCUCACCAUCACCUCAUCAAAACAAAAAGGUACUGCAAUCAGAAUUGUAGAUUAGUGAAAUGUUCAUUAUUAUGUAGGUCAAAACCUUCUCUAAUGUAAGAACACACAAUACCAGACAAAAAAUUAAACCAAACAAGAGGACAGGCCUGUCUGUGCUAAAACAACAGAUAAACAGUUGUUACAAUUCAAAUAUAAAAUCUAAACAGUAUAUACCAAUUAAAAUCUUCUAUUACCUAUCUUACUGUUGGUACAUACAAA
This is a long non-coding RNA of Betta splendens (Siamese fighting fish), 1328 nucleotides long. RefSeq lists it as uncharacterized. The transcript is spliced from 2 exons. NCBI's taxonomy places the organism in Eukaryota, Metazoa, Chordata, Actinopteri, Anabantiformes, Osphronemidae. The record is from RefSeq and is a predicted model, not a curated record.